RNAcentral lists this ribosomal RNA (603 nucleotides) under uncultured bacterium. RNAcentral's name for it is "bacterial SSU rRNA". The stretch from base 1 to 522 matches the Rfam family "Bacterial small subunit ribosomal RNA", at positions 338 to 873 of the family's 1533-position model. The record is from RNAcentral.
CCUACGGGAGGCAGCAGUGGGGAAUAUUGGGCAAUGGAGGAAACUCUGACCCAGCGACGCCGCGUGCGGGAUGAAGGCCUUCGGGUUGUAAACCGCUUUCAGUAGGGAAGAAGCGAAAGUGACGGUACCUACAGAAGAAGCACCGGCUAACUAUGUGCCAGCAGCCGCGGUAAUACAUAGGGUGCAAGCGUUGUCCGGAAUUAUUGGGCGUAAAGAGCUCGUAGGUGGUUCGUCACGUCGGAUGUGAAAAUCUGGGGCUCAACCCCAGACCUGCAUUCGAUACGGGCGAUCUAGAGUGUGGUAGGGGAGACUGGAAUUCCUGGUGUAGCGGUGGAAUGCGCAGAUAUCAGGAGGAACACCAAUGGCGAAGGCAGGUCUCUGGGCCAUUACUGACACUGAGGAGCGAAAGCGUGGGGAGCGAACAGGAUUAGAUACCCUGGUAGUCCACGCCGUAAACGGUGGGCACUAGUUGUGGGAACCUUCCACGGUUUCUGCGACGCNGCUACGCAUAAGUAGCCCGCCGUCGGGAGGUACGAGCGCGAGAGUAAACUACGUAAGUAAGUAGUUAGNGUGAGAGUGCGACGGCGACGACGAGGGAGGAGG